GCUAGUUGUAUUAUUAGUUAAUGCAAGAUCGACUACGUCGACUAAAGUUCUAGGUAGAAUAAUGAUGAUGACAAUUUUUUACCUAUAUGUCUUGACCAAGUCUCGUGCCAGCAGUCGCGGUAAUACGUGGAAGACUAGUGUUAUUCAUCUUUAUUAGGUUUAAAGGGUACCUAGACGGUAUUUCUAGCCCAAAAUAGGGUACGGAUUUACUAGAGUUUUAUGUGAGGAGGGGAGUACUCGUGGAGUAGAGAUGAAAUUUUGUUAUACUAUGAGGUAACUGGUGGCGGCGAAAGCAACCUUCUAUGUAUAAACUGACGUUGAGGGACGAAGGCUUGGGUAGCAAAUAGGAUUAGAUACCCUAGUAGUCCAAGCAGACAAUUCUGAAUGCCAUAGAUUAGAUUAUUUUUGAUCUAUAAAUGAAAGUGUAAGCAUUCCACCUUAGGAGUAAUGUGGCAACACAGGAACUGAAAUCAUUAGACCGUUUCUGAAACCAGUAGUGAAGUAUGUUAUUUAAUUUGAUGGUCCACAAAAAACCUUACCACAACUUGAAUAUUUUUUAAUUAAUACAAGCGUUGCACGGCUGUCUUCAGUUAAUGUCGUGAGAUUUUGGUUAACUCCAUUAAUUAACGUAAACCCUUACUUUAUUUAUUUUUUUUUUU
This 659-nucleotide ribosomal RNA is filed under the name Acarospora strigata. RNAcentral describes it as "partial small subunit ribosomal RNA". It matches the Rfam family "Bacterial small subunit ribosomal RNA", at positions 385 to 1128 of the family's 1533-position model. The record is from RNAcentral. Lineage: Eukaryota; Fungi; Ascomycota; Lecanoromycetes; Acarosporales; Acarosporaceae.